UGAGGAAUAUUGGACAAUGGGCGCAAGCCUGAUCCAGCAAUCUGGCGUGGGUGAAGAAGGUCCUAUUGAUUGUAAAGCCCUUUCGGCAGGGAUGAUGAUGACGUAACCUGCAGAAGAAGCCCCGGCAAAUUCCGUGCCAGCAGCCGCGGUAAGACGGAAGGGGCUAGUGUUAUCCGGAAUGAUUGGGCGUAAAGGGCAUGUAGGCGGCAGACAAAGUCAUUGAGAAAAGACCUAACAGAAAUUAGGGAGAUUUAAUGAAACUGUCAAGCUUGAGUGCGGAAGAGGAUCGUGGAAUUUCGAGUGUAGAAAUGGAAUGCUUAGAUAUUCGAAGGAACGCCAGCAGCGAAGGCGACGAUCUGGUCCGAAACUGACGCUGAAAUGCGAAAGCGUGGGGAGCAAA
This 400-nucleotide ribosomal RNA is filed under the name uncultured bacterium. RNAcentral's name for it is "bacterial SSU rRNA". It matches the Rfam family "Bacterial small subunit ribosomal RNA", at positions 355 to 772 of the family's 1533-position model. The record is from RNAcentral.